RNAcentral lists this ribosomal RNA (502 nucleotides) under uncultured bacterium. Its description in RNAcentral is "partial 16S ribosomal RNA". It matches the Rfam family "Bacterial small subunit ribosomal RNA", at positions 29 to 523 of the family's 1533-position model. The record is from RNAcentral.
AUUGAACGCUGGCGGAAUGCUUAACACAUGCAAGUCGAACGGCAGCACGGGUGCCUGCACCUGGUGGCGAGUGGCGAACGGGUGAGUAAAACAUCGGAACGUCCCCAGUCGUGGGGGAUAACGUAGCGAAAGUUACGCUAAUACCGCAUACGUCCUGAGGGACAAAGCGGGGGACCGUAAGGCCUCUCGCGACUGGAGACGCGCACGGCGGAGUAGCUAGUAGGUGGGGUAAAGGCCUACCAAGGCGACGAUCCGUAGCGGGUCUGAGAGGACGGCCCGCCACACUGGAACUGAGACACGGUCCAGACUCCUACGGGAGGCAGCAGUGGGGAAUAUUGGACAAUGGGCGAAAGCCUGAUCCAGCCAUUCCGCGUGAGUGAAGAAGGCCUUCGGGUUGUAAAGCUCUUUCGGCAGGGAAGAAACGGCUUGGGAUAAUACCCCGGGCUAAUGACGGUACCUGAAGAAGAAGCACCGGCUAACUACGUGCCAGCCGCCGCGGUAA